Molecule: ribosomal RNA, 549 nt
Filed under: Vexilla taeniata
Lineage: Eukaryota; Metazoa; Mollusca; Gastropoda; Neogastropoda; Muricidae
Description: partial 12S ribosomal RNA
Source: RNAcentral
AAACCAAGAGGAUUAAGUCAUGCACUCUCCGGUAAAAAGACAGUUAAGUAUAAGCAAAAGCUCACUUAAUUGUUAUUGAGAAGUAAAAUUCGAAAAUAGCUUAGAAAUUUAGUCCAAGCUGAAAGACUGAAGCUGUGAUCCCCUUGAGGGAAACUGGGAUUAGAUACCCCACUAUUCCUGGAAGUAAAAGGAUAUAAGUCUACCAGAGUACUAUGGAUUGCGCACAUUUAAAACUCAAAGAGCUUGGCGGUGUUUUAGACUCUUUAGGGGAACCUGUCUCAUAAUCGACAAUCCACGAAAAACCUGACCUUUAUUUGUCCUCAGUUUGUAUACCGUCGUCGUCAGGUAACUUUUAAGAAUAAAGAAGUUAGCAAAUAAGCCUAAAUAAACUACUACGUCAGAUCAAGGUGCAGCCAAUAUAAAGGGGAGGAUGGGUUACAAUUAUAGGUAUUAUAACUACGGAAUAAUCAUCUUAAAUAAAGACUAUGAAGGAGGACUUAAAAGUAAAAUAGAAUAUACAAAUAUAUUGAAUCGAGCUCUGAAACGUGC